ACCGGCAAACGGGUGCGGAACACGUACGCAACCUUCCUUUAAGCGGGGGAUAGCCCAGGGAAACUUGGAUUAAUACCCCAUAAGACAGUGGGAUGGCAUCAUCUAGCUGUUAAAGCUCCGGCACUUAAAGAUGGGCGUGCGGCUGAUUAGGUAGUUGGCGGGGUAACAGCCCACCAAGCCGACGAUCAGUAACUGGUGUGAGAGCACGACCAGUCACACGGGCACUGAGACACGGGCCCGACUCCUACGGGAGGCAGCAGUAAGGAAUAUUGGUCAAUGGACGCAAGUCUGAACCAGCCAUGCCGCGUGGAGGAUGAAGUCCCUCUGGGUUGUAAACUUCUUUUAUUGGGGAAGAAACCGGACCUUUCUAGGACCGUUGACGGCCCCCCCCCCAAAAAACCCGCCUAACUACGUGCCACCAGCCGCGGUACUACGGAGGGUGCAAGCGUUAUCCGGAUUCACUGGGUUCAAAGGGUGCGUAGGCGGGCCGGUCACUCCAUGGUAAAUCUCCAGCUUAACUUGCAACUGCCGUUGA
RNAcentral lists this ribosomal RNA (535 nucleotides) under uncultured bacterium. RNAcentral describes it as "bacterial SSU rRNA". It matches the Rfam family "Bacterial small subunit ribosomal RNA", at positions 94 to 630 of the family's 1533-position model. The record is from RNAcentral.